GCCUUAAGCCAGGCCCCGCCCUACGUGGGCUCCCGUCGCCCACCCGUACCCGGGCCAGGUCGGGGAGGAGGAGCGUGCGCGCCGGGAGGGCGGCCCUUGCCUGCGACUCAGCUCAGGCUCUCCUAACCGCGGUUUACCUCGUUGUACAGCGGGAUGGAUCCCCUUCGCACACUCUCUGCCUACCACACGGUGGGUGUUGUGUCAAAAUACACUAAUUCCUUUUUCCCCGUCGGUCCCGAGAGCCUGUCUGGAAGGGCCUGGUUAGUCCUUCAAACAAAAGGCUUUGUGUGUCUUGCGUACUGGCUGUUAGAAGUUUCCCUUUUCUAGGCGUGAGCUCCACACCUACGAGUGGCUUUAGUUAGGAAAAGGUGACAACGGGCUCAUCCCUGAACUGAUGAGUUGAACCUGGGGCCUGAUCAGAAAUGAGGGGAGAGGAGUGUUACGAGAAUUUUCGCUGUGUUCCUGCACCUGCGUAAGUGCUUAUGGCUGGGAGCCCCGUCGAGGGCACAGACUGCCUUGGGGCGCUCUUCUUUCUCCUCUAGCUGCCUCUUCCCAGAAUCUGUCACCUCAUGACAUUGCUGUGGUCAGACGGUCAUCGAUUCUGUGAUGACCUGAACCUUGGGACACGCCAGCCUCCAGGAGCUUAUAUGAGGCUGGUCUACCAAAGUAUACAGUUCAAGGCCAUCUCCUGGAAGGAACAUGAAUGUGUCCUGAAGUGCUUGUGUCAUGUGUCAGGGGUUGUGUUAGGCUUUUCACACGAGUGAUCUCGUUUGAUUCCCACAGUGGUCCUGUGAGCUAGGGGGAAUCAUCCCUCUCUGUAGAUGAGGAAACUGGUUCAGCCGGUUUAAAUAACUCACCUCAUGUUUCUCAGCGGGGAUGUAGUGGUUGUAGGGCUUCGGCAGUGAAGUGUCAGUACCUGGUCAGGCCUUCUCUAAGGUGUGAGACGCUCAGGGCCAUCCUGGAGGGUAUGUGUGAAGGCAUAUCACACCUUGGGUUCUUCCCCCGUCACCCCAUUCUCUUGGCAGCCCCUGCCAUUUGUAUCAAGGCUAAACUCAAAAGGCGAAGACGGCAGGGCAAUUCCUCCCACCCCCUCACCACACACACACACUCUGCCUUGGUCAUGGAUGGGUUAAUGGAACGACUCCUGUGUAUUAGACUUGGGCCUUUUUUUAGCACCAUCUGGCAGGAGUCACCUCUCCUCACACCUGCUGCUUCUACAAAACAUAGCUCACUUGCCAGUCAACAGUGCAAAAGGCAGAAGUGUGGUGCAUGUGUAAUUAGGAUUCGGUGGACCCUAGACACAAUUGUGUUGCCUGUGUUAUGUUGCCAUUGAUAGCCCAUAGACACUGCUGAGUUGUAUGUGGAACCACAGAAGACAAGAGAAAACCUACAAAAGCCGAAGUCCACUAUCCUUUUAAAAAAAAUCUUGUUGCCAGGCGCAGUAGCUCAUGCUUAUAAUCCCAGCACUUUGGGAGGCUGAGGUGAGUGGAUCACAUCAAGAGAUCGAGACCAUCCUGGCCAACAUAGUGAAACUCUGUCUCUACUAAAAAUAUAAAAAUUAGCUGGGCAUGGCAUCGGGUGCCUGUAGUCCCAGCUACUCAGGAUGCUGAGGCAGGAGAAUCGCUUGAACCUGGGAGGCGGAGGUUGCAGUGAGCGGAGAUUGUGCCACUGCAUUCCAGUCCAGCCUGGGUGACACAGCAAGACUCUGUCUCAAAAAAAAAAAUCUUGGGAGCCGCAGUGGCUCCAGCCAGUUGUCCUGGCGUUUGAGGAGGUGAGGCUAUGAGUUCAAGGCUAACCUGAGCAACAUAACAAGCUCUCAUUGAUUAACAAAAAAAAAAAAAAAAAUCUUUUCUACAGCAUUGGAUAGCGAAAUUCCCAGAAGACAAAUAAGGACCCAGGCAUUUGUCCUUCAAAACCCAGGACUUUGUAUAUAGAUGCUUUUUGGCUUUGAACACGGCAGGUAGCUUCUAUGUUUCAGAUCAAGAGAGUGGAUGUAGGCUAAAGUGGGCAGAUCUCGUGAGGUCAGAAGUUCGAGACCAGCCUAGCCAACAUGGUGAAACCCUGUUUUUACCAAAAAUAAGAACAUUAGCCAGUGUGGUGGCACACACUUGUAAUUCCAACUACACCGGAGGCCGACGUGGGAGGAUGGAGGAUUGCUUGAACCCAGAAGGUAAAGGUUGCAGUAAGCCAAGACUGUGCCACUGCACUCCAGCCUGAGCAACAGAGCAAGACUCUGUCUUAAAAAAGAAAAAAAAAAGAGUGGAUGAGCUUCAUUGACCCAGGGACACUUUAUUUUUGUUUUUUAGAUCAAGGUCUCUCUCUGUGGCCCAGGCUAAGUGCAGUGGCACAAUUAUAGCUGUUAACCUCAAACUCCUGGGCUGAAGCUAUCCUCCCACCUCAGCUUCCUGAGUAACUAGGACCACAAACAUGUGCCACCAUGCCCAGCUAAUUUUUAAAAUUUUUUGUAGAGAUGGGGUCUUGCUAUGAUGCCCAGCCUAGUCCGGAAUUCUUGGCCUUGAGUAGUCCUCCAGCCUCAGCCUCCCAGAGCACUAGGAUUACAGAUGUGAAUCCCAGCACCUGGCCCAGGGACACUUUAAAUGGGGAGGGAGGCCAGGGAAGGUGGCUAAUGCCUAUAAUCCCAGCAAUUUGGGAGGCCAAGGUGGGAGGAUUCCUUGAACCCAAGAGUUCCAGACCAGCCUGGGCAACAUGGUGAAACCCCAUCUCUAUUAAAAAAAAAAAAAAAAAAAAAAAAAAAAAGCCCAGGUGUGGUGGCUCACGCCUGUAAUCCCAACACUUUGGGAGGCCAAGGCAGGCAGAUCACAAGGUCAGGAGUUCAAGACCAGACUGGCCAACAUGGUGAAACCCCAUCUCUACUAAAAAAAUACAAAAAUUAGCUGGGCAUGGUGGCUUGUGCCUGUAAUCCCAGUUACUUGGGAGGCUGAGGUAGGAGAAUUGCUUGAACCAGGAUGCAGGAGGCGGAGAUUGCAGUGAGCUGAGAUCAAACCACUACACUCCAGCCUGGGCUACAGAGCCAGACUCCAUCUCAAAAAAAAAAAAAAAAAAAAAAGCCAGCUUGGUGAUACAUACUUGUAGUGCCAGCUACUUGGCAGGCUGAGGAUGGGAGGAAAACUUGAGCCCUGGAGGUCAAGGCUGCAGUGAGCUAUGAUCCGACUCUAGCCUGGGCGAAAGAGAGAGACCAUGUCUCUAAAAAAAAAAAAAAAAACAGUGGGGGGAGUGAAUUUUUGUAUUCCUUUUUUUGCUUACAAAGCAGCCCUUUCUGUCACAACAUACUUACUGAAACCUGCAAAGCAUGGACCCUUGGGAGCUUAUAGUCUAUUAGGAGAGUGGCUGAAAAGUGGUUGUAAUUUAGGUGAAGUCUAAUCAGUUGGGUUAUAAACCGGUUUGGCAAACUGAAUAGAAGGGGUUUGGCCAUGCUUGGAAGUACCUAUACCUCCAAAUAUAACUCUGGCAGGGUCCAGGACUAAGGGGAGAACAGGUGAACUCGGUGAGUUCCUUGGUGAGGCUGCUGCUGCUUUUGCAGGAAAAAAGAUCUCCUACCUUAAAGGUGAGACCUGGCCGGGCGCGGUGGCUCACGCCUGUAAUCCCAGCACUUUGGGAGGCCGAGGCGGGUGGAUCACGAGGUCAAGAGAUUGAGACCAUCCUAGUCAACAUGGUGAAACCCCGUUGCUACUAAAAAUAGAAAAAAUUAGCUGGGCAUGGUGGCGCAUGCCUGUAAUCCCAGCUACUCAGGAGGCUGAGGCAGGAGAAUCGCCUGAACCCAGGAGGCUGAGGUUGCGGUGAGCUGAGAUCGCGCCAUUGCACUCCAGCCUGGGUAACAAGAGUGAAACUCCGUCUCAAAAAAAAAAAAAAAAAAAGGUGAGACCUGACUUUAGGUUGGUUACUUUUGUUCUAAGUCUGCAUUUUACUAAGCAAUCCUUAGCCCAUGGGGAGAUCAGCCAGUCAGGCCAGUGCAGGCAUUCCAGCCCACCUUGAAUGUCUGUCAUUCUUCAGUGUAAGUCAGUAAAUUGGCAUUUGAUUUAUAUGUCCCUCAACAUGUGUGAACUCACUAAAUAGGUGUUUGAGAGAUAAGUCGCCUCGUAGUGGGCCAGCCUGAAAGUGUAAGUCCCAUGUCUGGGUCCUUGUCUAAAUACCACGAGAUAAGGAGUGAGGAGCUGCUGUAAAGAGAAGGGCGUGGUAUAGGAGCCAGCUUUGCUCACAUUCAGGAGAAUUAUAUUAUCCAUACAAGGCAGCAAGUACUAAAUUGUAGAAGAGUGAUACAUGCACUGGAUGCUGUGGGUUCAGAGGAGGGUGAGAUCACUGUGGGAGGUUAAGGGAUGGUGCCACAGAGGAGGCAAGUAGGACUUGCAAAAUGGAUGUGCUGUCAGUAGGUGGAAAUGGAGGAGAUGGAGAGGAACUACCCACUGCUUUGGUGGUUCACCUCUGGAGCUUACACAGAACACACAGUCAUCUGAUCUCUAGCGAUUGAACCAAUGGAAAAAUGUGACAGGAGAAGGAGGUGGUAGGCCUCAGAGACAAGGAAGGAAAAAUCAACUAUUUAUUCACAAAUAUAUUUGUUCAACCUUUAUUGAGUAUCUCUUAUGUGCCAGGCACUGAGUUUGGCCUGGGAAUACAGCAACAUACGGAACAAACAAAAGCCCUGCCCUCAGAAAGUUUACGUUUUUUUUUUUUUUUUGAGACAGAAUAUGGCUCUGUUGCCCAGGCUGGAGUGCAGUGGUGGUAUCUCAGCUCACUCCAACCCACAGACAUGCACCACCAUGCCUGGCUAAUUUUUUUUUUGUAUUUUUAGUAGAGAUGGGGUUUCACCAUGUUGGCCAGAGGCUGGUCUCAAACUCCUGACCUCAAGUGAUCUGCCCACCUCAGCCUCCCAAAGUGCUGAGAUUACAGGUGUGAGCCACCGUGUCUGCCCAAAAAGUUUACAUUCUAAUGAGGAAAGAGAGAGACAAACAAUGAAUGACUAAUGAACAAAUGAAUAAGCUAUCUAGUAUGUCAAUAGUGAAGAAUGCUAUAGAGAAAAUGAAAACAAGGGGUGGGAGGCAGGAGGAAGUACUGAGGUUUUCCUCCAAAUUUUAAAUAAAUUUUGUGGGAGUGAUAUAAAAGUAAAAGGGGGCUGGGUGUGAUGCCUCACACCUGUAAUUCCAGCACUUUGGGAGGCCAAGGUGGGCAGAUCACCUUAAAUCAGGAGUUAAAGACCAGCCUGGCUAACAUGGUAAAACCCGGUCUCUACUAAAAAUACAAAAAUUAGCCAGGCGUGGUGGCAUACGCCUGUAAUCCCAGCUACUCAGGAGGCUGAGGCAGGAGAAUUGCUUGAAUCUGGGAGGCAGAGGUUGCGGUGAGCCAAGAUCGUGCCAUUGCACUCCAGACUGGGCAACGAGCGAAACUCCUUCUCAAAAAAAAAAGGUAAAAGUGACACACAAUCUUUGUGAUCAUUUUCUGUGAGUUGCGGUAGUUGACCAGGUUGUGUCCUGGGAGAUAAUACAUAUUUGUGAAUGUGACUCACUCCCUGGGUAAAAAUAAGCCAAGAUCUCCAAAGGAAGUAUUUUUCUCUGAAAUCCAGAAAGCCAGUUGCAAUGACAGAGGAAAAUGGAAUUUUACCCUGGCCCCCAAAUAUAAGCACUAUGUAGUUAUAAGAAAAUAAGGGUUGAUAUGGUGAGAUGUGAUAGAUCUAAGUACAGAAGAGGAAGGAGCUGAAGGCUCACUUUCUUGGUGCCUUUUCCUGCCCAGGGGGUGGAGGCUGGGCAGGGAGGAGGGGAGGAAGCCAGGUCUUGAGAUGGGUGUGGCUAUGGAAUCUGUGGAGACCAUUUGUAUUCCCUCAGGAGAUUGCCUGUUCACAGAUACAUGCAGCCUGGAGGGACUGCAUGUUGAGGUGUCAGCCUGACCACCUGGCUCUUCAUGGCACUAUUUUUUGAACCCAGAGUUUCAGAACUACAGUUUAUCGUGCCAGAGAUGAAAUCGGAAUACACAAAAAAAUGGCAUUCUGAAGACAUUUUGAUGGUUUGUGAGAAUCAUGGGAUAGAAGAGCAGAAGGAAAAAAAAGUUUGUGGUUGAGGAGUGACGAUCGAAUGUGCAACAGUAGGAAUACUACUGUUAACAGAUAGUAUCCAUUGUAACCUGGCUAAGAGAGACAGCAAGCUCCCAAGAGUUGGCACUGGCCAGGUGCAGUGGCUCAUGCCCAUUAUUCCAACACUUUGGAAGGCCAAAGCUGGAAGACUGGUUGAGCCUGGGAGUUCAAGACUAGCCUGGGUAACAUAUUAAGACCCUGUCUCUACAAAAAAUACCGAAAUUAGUUGGGCAUGGUGGUGCACGCCAGUAGUACCAGUUACUUGGGAGGCUGAGGCGGGAGGAUUGCUUGAGCCCAUGAGGUUGAGACUGCAGUGAGCUGUGAGUGCACUCGUGUACUGAGUGACAGAGCAAGACCCUAUCUAAAAAACAAACAAAACAACAAAAAAUGCCAGGUGCAGAGUCUCAUGCGUGUAAUCCCAGCACUUCAGGAGGCCGAGACAGGUGUAUCAUCUGAAGUCAGAAGUUCUAGACCAGCCUGACCAUCAUGGUGAAACCCUAUCUCUACUAAAAAUACAAAAAAAAAAAAAAAAAAGCCAGACACGGUGGCACAUGCCUGUAGUCCCGGCUACUCAGGAGGCUGAGGUGAGAGAAUCACUUGAACCCAGGAUGUGAAAGUUGUAGUGAGCCGAGAUUGUGCCACUGCACUCCAGCCUGGGCUGCAGAGCGAGACUCCAUCUAAAAAAGAAAUGCUCUAUAAAUGUCUAUUGAACGAGUGAAUGAAUGCAUUAAUGAAUGGAUGGGUGCUCUCUCUGAUUCUGAGCUUGCCAUGACAAGCCUGGAGAGAAGAGAUCUAGCCUACACUCUCCUUUUAAUGGAUUCCCCUUCGUUAUAGGGUUCCCCCAAAGAGACAGUUACUAUUCAAUGUAUAACCUUAUACUGUUCUGCCGAACUGAUCUGCUUACACUGUUCAAUGCCAGAUGUUGAGGCAUGCAGGGCCUAUGGGCACUGGGGAAUUCAAAGGCAAUCUUCAGUCACCAACAAAAUAGGGCCUACUACUUAUGUGGUAAUGCUUGUACACCGACUUUGUCACGUCCUUAUGAUAAAUUUGGACCAAGGUCGUUGGUCUAAGACAGGGCUCAGUCUGCCCACAAACUGCAUGGGCCUUUCCCCAGGCCAGAUUCCUUGAGUCAGUUUAUGUCCCCAUGUUCCUGCAUUCUUCGCCUAAGAGCGAAACUACCCGUCAUUAAUGGGAAUGGGUGAUUUUCUGCUUGCUUUUGAACUCUAUUUCAUAAGCGGACCGUUUCCUGACAUUCUCAAGGACAUGACAUAACAGUUUCCCAUCUGUGAGUUAUCUUAUAUUUUUAAGUGGCAGACCUGUGUUUCAAGCCAGGAUGUCCUGACAGGAAACCUGAGUAAUAUUUUGCUCUUUCUUCCUGCUGGUGUGUUUUGGGUGGAUGUGUAGGAGACACAAAUGUGCGGUAGCUUCUUCUGCUUCUAACAGUCUGUGGUGUUCAUUAUCUUCUGGUUAGGGUUUUCCUUUGAGAAUAAGCCAGCAAAGAAUGAAUGUCGAGGUAUGGUUCCUGGUGAUGCUAUGCGUGUGUAAUGGGAGUGAGCAUGCUCUCUCCACGGAGCCUUCUGCUCCGUGUGCCCAGUGAAUUGAACAAUACUCGAAGACGUAUUCUGGCCCAGCAUCAUCUGGGGAGUAUAUGAUAUGGUUCUAGUCACCUGAAUCCCGGCCAAGCUCAGUGUCCCUGAAAAUGACUUGCUUUUAGACUUGCAUUUGAUUUAAGCAAAAUCUUUUACUGAACACACCUGGCAGACAUCUCAGAUUUCCUGCACAUUAACUGAGGAAUUCUAGCAAAUGAAAGCUGAAAGCUAUGAUACUGUUACGACAAAAUUAACACCCUGAAAGGCUAAUGAAUCUUAUAUGGAUUAUAUUACUUAGAGUUUGAACUUGGACAUUAUCUUUGUAAUAUAAAAGCUAUGUCCCCAAAACUUUAAAAAAGAGAGAAGAGAAACCCAUUCCCAUAAAUCAUAUUUCUGACACAUAGCUCACCAUGAAAAUGUCCAUAACACAGUGAUAUAAUUGAUACCUUGCAAAUAGAUUAAAAAAAAAAUUAGGCCAGGCACAUUGAUGACCCAAAGGUAUCCUAACACGGCUGUUAGAGAUUUGGGCAGGGGCUGAGUCUCAGUGUUUGGUUUCUAUCCCUAGCGCAGGGCCUCUGACAGCGAUGGAUACAUAUUAGGUGUCAAUUAACAGUCACUGAAUUACUGAAUGGAAAUUUACUGGGUCUCACUGCACCACUAGACUCCACACACAAAUAGACCUGCCCCAUGGGAUUCUUCACAAGAGCAAAUAUUUUAUGAGAGCUGUCACUCCUAGUUGAUUGGAUGGACAAAGUGAAACCACAGGAUUGGAUUUUAAAAGCAAAUAGAUUUACUCUGCUAAAUUUUACAACUGGGUUCUUCUGCUCUGAGUGGAGUGUUGGACAAAAUAACUUCAGAUUUGAGGUUUGUCAGUUCUAUGAAAACACAGGUUUUUUGUUUUGCUUUUUUAAGACAGAUGAACCCAGCAGGCAAGCUGGCAGGAAGUCUGACUGCAGUACUUGCCUGAGAGGAUGACACAGGCCAAACUAGAGAAGGAAAACAACAAGGCAGCCAGAGCUCAUAAAGCACUUUGAAAAGUAGUUACAGAGCUUUCCAGGUUUUUCUGGAAAAAGGAAGAAAAGGAGAGUAAAGGGCAGGAAGAGCAUUGGUUAACAACUGGCUUCAGAAAUGCUGACGAGUGGAUUUGACUGUUGGUUUUGUUUUUCUGAGUCAGGGAUAAGGAAAGGGUAUACAUUGGGCUGGUGCUGCCUGCUGGCGGGGCCACCUUCCCCAGGCUGUACUGAAGCCAUCCUUAGAGCUGCCAGGGCAUCCUGAGGCCUGCUGCCCUGUGGAACUCAUUGGAAAGGUGGACAGACUGCCCUCCAAAGAUGUCUAAGGUGCAUGGUACAGUGGAAGGAAGGGACAGCAGUUUUAAUUUCAUGUUGCUUUAAAAAUGUUUAUAUGUGGCCAGGCAUGGCGGCUUACACCUGUAAUCCCAGCACUUUGGGAAGCUGAGGUAGGCAGAUCACAACAUCAAAAGAUGGAGACCAUCCUGGCCAACACGGCAAAACCCCGUCUUUACUAAAAAUACAAACAUUAGCUGGGUGUGGUGACGAGCACCUGUAAUCCCAGAUACUCGGGAGACUGAGGCAGGAGAAUCACUUGAACCUGGGAGGCAGAGGUUGCAGUAAGCUGAGAGCAUGUACUGCAUUACAGCCUUGGCGACAGAGCAAGACUCGGUCUCAUAAAAACAAAGAAAAAUUUAUAUGUAUUUGCUUUCUUGAACAGGUAAUUUAUGUAUAUGAGUCAAAACUAAAAAAAUGAAAAGAUGGCUGGGCACAGUGGCGUGUGCAUGUAGUCCCAGCUACUCAGGAGGCUGAGGCUGGAGGAUCGCUUGAGUCCAGGAGUUCUGGAUUAUAGUGUGCUAUGCUGAUCGGGUGUCUGCACUAAGUUCAGCAUCAAUAUGGUGACCUCCCAGGAGUAGGGGACCACCACGUUGCCUAAGGAGGGAUGAACUCGCCCAGUCGGAAACGGAGCAAGUCAAAACUCCUGUGCUGAUCAGUAGUGGGAUUGCGCCUGGGAAUAGCCUCUGUACUCCAGCCUGGGCAACAUAGCGAGACCCUAUGUCUCUAAAAAAAGAGAGAAAUUAAAAGAUUAAAAGAUGUUUAUCUCUCCUGUCCCUGUCCACAAAUGCCCAGUUCCCCCACUCUAAAUAAAUAACCCUGUUACUAGGUUUGUGUUUAUCCUUCUAACAUUUUUUGUGCACAUAUAAGCUAAAACAAAUCUAUGCCGUUCUUUACCCCUUUUUAAUAUAAAUGGUGCCAGUCGGUACACAUAUUCUACACAUUUGUUGGGUUCCCCCUCUUUAACACUCUAUCUCGGAGACAUUUCCUUAUUGGUAUAUGAGAGUAUUCUCAUUUUUAUCUAUCUUUGUGGCUGCAGAGUAUUACAUUGUGUGGACAUACGAUAAUUUAAGUGAUUCCCACCAAGGGAUGUUUAGGUUGUUUCCAGUCUUUUGGCAUUACAAAUAAAGAUAUGGACUUUAGAGAAGUGCUUUCAAACCCCAGUCCUGAUGCCUACUAGAUGAUUGACAAUGGGUUUUAAUUGCCUACUCUGUAAAUAGGAUUUUUUUUUUCAGAGUUUUGCUCUUGUUGCCCAGACUGGAGUGCAGUGGUGAGAUUUCAGCUUACCACAACCUCUGCCUCCCAGGUUCAAGCAACUCUUCUGCCUCAGCCUUCCAUAGCUGGGAUUGCAGGCAUGCACCACCAUGCCCGGCUAAUUUUGUAUUUUUAGUAGAGACGGGGUUUCUCCAUGUUGGUCAGGCUGGUCUCGAACUGCCAACCUCAGGUGAUCCACACACCCUGGCCUCCCAAAGUGCUGGGAUUACAGUCGUGAGCCACUGUACCCAGCCAGGAAUUAUUUUCUAUUUAUUUCACCUGUCCCUUAAUGUUGCUGUGAAAGACUUAUAUAAUAUACAAAGAACUUGAGAAAUUCUAGGUCCUCGGUAAAAAUAAUGUACCUUGCAAUAAAGCAUAUUCAAAUUUGUUCUUAAAAAAUAAAAUACUGGCCGGGCGCGGUGGCUCAAGCCUGUAAUCCCAGCACUUUGGGAGGCCGAGGCAGGUGGAUCACGAGGUCAGGAGAUCGAGACCAUCCUGGUCAACAUAGUGAAACCCGUCUCUACUAAAAAUACAAAAAAUUAGCUGAGCAUAGUGGCGCAUGCCUGUAAUCCCAGCUACUCAGGAGGCUGAGGCAGGAGAAUCACCUGAACCCAGGAGGCGGAGGUUGUGGUGAGCCGAGAUCACGCCAUUGCACUCCAGCCGGGGUAACAAGAAUGAAACUCCGUCUCAAAAAAAUAAAUAAAUAAAAUAUAAAUAUAAAUAAAUAAAUAAAUAAAAUAAAAUGCUGACCAGGAGCCCUGGCUCAUGCCUGUAAUCCCUAUGCUUUGGGAGACCAAGGUCUCAAGAAGGACCACCUGAGACCAGGAAUUCAAGACCAGACUGAGCAACACAGAACAAGACCCUACCUCUACAAAAGUAAAAAUAAAAAAAUUAGCCACGCAUGGUGGCACAUGCCUAUACUCCCAGCUGCUUGGGAGGCUGAGGCAGGAGGAUCUCUUGAGCCCACAGCUGCACUCCAGCCUGGGUAACUGAGCAAGACCCUGGCUGUAAACAUUUUUUUUUUUAAACACUCUUGCUCCGUCUCCUAGGCUGGAGUGCAGUGGUGCAAUCUUGGCUCACUGCAACCUCCACCCCACCCCCACCAGGUUCAAUUGAUUCUCCUGCCUCAGCCUUCUUUCCGAGUAGCUGGGAUUAUAGGCAUGUACCACCACACCUGGCUAAUUUUUGUAUUUUUAGUAGAGGCAGGAUUUCACCAUGUUGGCAAGGCUGGUCUGGCACCAUUGCAUUCCAGCCUGGGCAAGAGUGAAACUCUGUCUCAAAAAAAAAAAUCUUGGUCAUGUUAAUAUAUUUUUUUUUUUCGAAAGAACUUUAGAAUAAUUUUGUCAAAUUCUAGAAAAAUGGAAUUGGAAGGGGAAAUUGAAUUGUAUUUAAUUUCCACACCUGUUUGGGGACAUAUUUGUUUCAUAUGGCUGAUGUAACAAUUACCACAAACCUGGUGGCUUAAAACAACACAAAUUUCUUCUCUCACUUCUCAAGGCCAAAAGUCUGAAAUCAGUGUCACUGAACUGAAAUCCAGGUGUCAGCAGGAGUGUGCACCCUGUGGAGAGUUUUGGGCAGAACGUGCUCGUUGCAUCUUUGUUUCUGGUGGUUGCUAGCAUGCAGUACUUGACUGACAGCUGCAUCGCUCCAGUCUCAGUGGUCACAUUGCUGUCACAGGGAUCCCCACUAUGUCACCUCACCUCAGAGCUUAACCUGACUGGUCCUCUUCCUUGCCUGGCUCAAGGCUUGGGUUAGUAACACAGAGUGGAUCAGCUCUCUGGGGCAUACUCAUUAACCCAGCUCUCAGACACUGCUGCGUGUGCAAAGAUAAUAUUUUGAUCUCCUAGUCUAUGUUUUGUUUUGUUUUAAUCUCAGUGUUUCCUGUUACCUUGUGACCCUCCCUCCCCUUUGGGAUGGCUGGACCAUGAGGCAUUUUUUGGCUCCAGGCACCACUGUGGAGCAGAAGGCAAAGAACAGAAGACUAAGGACUUAGAUCAGUCAGAAUUAGUCUCAGGCCAGGCGCUGUGGCUCACACCUGUAAUCCCAGCACUUCUGGAGCCUGAGGCAGGCAGAUCACCUGAGGUCAGGAGUUUGAGACCAGCCUGGUCAACAUGAUGAAACCUACUAAAAAUACAAAAAAAUUAGCUGGGCAUGGUGGCAUGUGUGCCUGUAAUCCCAGCUACUCGGGAGACUGAGGCAGGAGAAUCGCUUAAACCUGGGAGGCGGAGCUUGAAGUGAGCCAAGAUUGUGCCAUUGCACUCCAGCCUAGACAACAAGAAGGAAAACUACAUCUCAAAAAAAGAAAAAAGCAUUAGUCUCUUCACCCGACUCCCCAUCAAGUUUUCCCAGACUGGAAAAUGCAUGCUGUCUUGCCGCAGCGUCCUGGGCAUCUGUGAGGCCCUGCACCUACCUCUGAAGUAUCUCCACGUCCAAGGGAGAACAACAAUAAAUAGCAAAUAAAAAUAUCAUGACAGGUUGAGACAGACACUGCAGAAAAAAGGAAAGAGCUUUUUUCCUCCUUUUAUUAGAAAGGGGCCCAUAUUUUCAUUUUCUCCUGGGCCCUGAAAAUUAUGUAGCCAAUCCUACUGGCAGAUAAAACGUUCCUGAAGGAGUUAGCCAGAAGUCUAAGAAUAUUCUGGGGGUGUUAUGGCUUAAGUAUGUCAGCCCUGUCCAAAUGUAGAACAAUGCUGGGGGCUAUUUCAAGCCACGUGAAAUGUCAACACCUGUGGUAAAGCACUAUUAGCAAAGCUAAGGUGCAGAGUCUGCACACAUGACAAGGAAAAAGUCAACGUGCUAGGAGAGAUUUAUUGGCUGUUCAGCUUUAUCUGGAAGAGGAAAAUGGUGGGCAGAAAAGGCUGUCUGGCUAGUUCCUCCUUGAAGCAAGAACUCAGCUCGUUUCUCCAGAUAGUCUGUGGUCAGAUCUAGCAAUGAAAAUUUCAGGAAAUAUUGAUUUAAAAAGAGAAGAGAUCUUCCCACAUCUCCUUCAGUAUUGGGUGCCACCAAAUUCUGGCUGUUGACCUGUUACUCAACAAUAACAACAACAAAACAAUGUCUUUUGUUUAUUAUUAUUUCUGAUUCCAAGGAGAGUUAAACUUAUUUAAAGUGGGUCUUGCUUUAAAAAAAAAUUACUCCAGAUGUUUGUUUCUUUUGAAUUUUCCACUGGUAUUCAUUUUCUUAUUUAUUUGCAAGCACUUCCUACAUAGCAAGAAUAACAACAUUUUGUUUUCAUAUGUGUUACAAAUAGGUUUUCCUGGUUCAUCUAUUGUUUUUUAACCUUGCGCAUUUGGAAUAUCUCCAAGCCACAUCAUCUGAUGGGAAUGGAGAUCAUCCUAACAGUGAUACUGCAGUGUCAUAAUUCAGUAACCACCAAAUUUACUGCUAAUAAUCACCCACAUUUACUGAGCAUGUACUGUAUGCUUCGUGUGCCAUUAAUCCACAAAAUUACCCUAUGAAGUAGGUACUAUUUUUAGUUUCAUUUAAUAGAUGAAGAAACAGAAAUAGGAAAAGCUAAGUAAUGUGCCUAGUCACACAGCCUAGUAAGGGAUGGAAUGUGGGGCUUGACCCCAGCCCUGUCUGACUCCUAAGUCCAGGUUCCAACCCUGCACUGUCCAGUAAAGUGGCUGUACGUAGCUAGAGAGCACUUGAAAUGUAGCCAGCCUGAUUUCAGAGACCAAGUGUAAAAAAAAAGAAUGUGAAAUGCCUCAUUAUUACUAUUUUUUUUUUUAUAAGGUCUUGCUUUGUCUCUCAGGCUGGAGAAAGUAGCAUGAACACAGCUUGCUGCAGUCUCAACUAUCUGGGCUCAAGCGGUGUUCCCACCUCAGCCUCCUGAGUAGCUGGAACCACAGGUGUGUGCCACCAUGUCCAGCCUUUCAUUAUUAGUUUAAAAAUUGGCCAGGUGCAGUGGCUCACGCCUUUAAUCUCAGCACUUUGGGAGGCUGAGGCAGGCAGAUCACCUGAGGUCAGGAGUUUGAGACCAACCUGACCAACAUGGAGAAAUCCUGUCUCUACUAAAAAUACAAAAAUUACCCAGGCAUGGUGGUGUGCCUGUAAUCCCAGCGACUCAGGAGGCUGAGGCAGGAGAAUCACUUGAACCCAGGAGGUGGAGGUUGCAGUGAGCCAAGAUCCUGCCUCUACACUCCAGCCUGGGCAACAGAGCAAGACUCCGUCUCAAAAAAAAAAAAAAAAAUGUGGCUACUGAAAAAUUUUUAACAUGAUUCCCUUUAUAUUUCUAUUGACAAUAUCUUCUAUCCACUUUCCUACAUAAUCACCCUUCACUUGGGUGAAGACAGAUUGUGUGAUCGCCUGAGUCUUCUCCAGUUAUAUCACAGUGCUUGCUCCUUUUAAAUCUGUUGAUAGAAUGUUGUCUGCAGGUAUGGCUGCUGUUCUCUUUUCCCUGUCUUUACUUCCUUCACAAUCGGCUGCCAUCCAAGGAGACAAGGAAGCCUAGAGCUCUCAGGAGCAGUCCUUUGAGCUAGUGUAGAGGCACUCAAAAUGGUCUGGCAUUUGACAUAAUGACGUAGGCUUUCCUACAAUAUUGCCUGUAACAAAACUAGGCUGUCCCAAACCUCUGGUAAUAGAAUUGUUUACCUUUAUACCAAGAAGGUUGGGAAAGCAUCAAAAUCUGCAUGUGGCCUGUGCCGAGGCAGACUUUGAGGGGUUUGUGCUAUAAGGCCUAAAGUUCUUAUGAGGUUGUCCAAAACAAAGAAACAUGUCAGCAGGGCCUAUGGUGGUUCCAUGUGUGCUAAAUGUGUUCGUGACAGGAUCGAGCAUGCUUUCCUUAUCGAGGAGCAGAAAAUCGUUGUGAAAGUAUUGAAGUUGAAAGCACAGAGUCAGAAAGCUAAAUUAAAAAAUGAAACUUUUUUGAGUAAUAAAUCUGUUGAUAAACUGAAACCUUGUUUUCUGGUUUUGGUUGUCUUACAUGAAUUGAAAUCAUUUCAGGAUCUCACUGGCUUGAACAUGCUCAGUUCCGUCCACUCUUCCUCACAGAUGAUUUCUCAUAGGACCAAAUUUUGUCUUCCUUGUUGUCCACAUCUCAAUAUUCUCCAGGUUAUGGCUAUCUUUUUUUUUAUUUUUUGAGGUGGAGUCUUGCUCUAUCGCCAGGAUAGAGUGCAGUGGCGAGAUCUCAGCUUACUGCAACCUCUGCCUCCUGGGGUCAAGCAAUUCUUGAGCCUCAGCCUCCCAAGUAGGUGGUAUUACAUGUGUGUGCCACUAUACCCAGCUAAUUUUUAUAUUUUUAGUAGAAAUGGGGUUUCACCAUGUUGGUCAGGAUGAUCUCGCUCUCCUGACCUUGUGAUCCACAAACCUCAGCCUCCCAAAGUGUUGGGAUUAUAGACAUGAGCCACCAGGCCCGGCCGAUUAUGGCUAUCUCUAUCUCUCUUGCCCUCCAAGAUGAGACCACAGGUAGGGCACAGUGGCUUAUGCCUGUAAUCCCACCACUUUGAGAGGCCAAGGCAAGCAGAUUGCUUGAGCCCAGAAGUUGGAGACCAGCCUGGGCAAUGAAGUGAGACCCCUUCUCUACCAAAAACAAAGAAAAAUAAAUUAAAAAAAAAAAGGGUGACACAAUCCUCCAGAGAGCCAUUGCAGAUGUCCCAGAAAAGUGAUGCUCCUAAGUUCAUAAGGACAGAAAAUAGAAUGGUGGUUGCCAGGAGGUGGAUAGAUUAAAUGAGGGAGUUGUUUCAUGGGUACAGAGUUUCAGUUUAGGAUGAUGGAAGAGUUCUAGAGAUGGAUGAUGAUGGUGAUUGCACAACCAUAUGAUAUUUAGUGCCACUAAACUAUACUUAAUUGGUUAAAAUAGGAAGUUUUGCCAGGCGUGGUUACUUACACCUGUAAUCCCAGCACUUUGGGAGGCCGAGGUAGGUAGAUCACGAGGUCAGGAGUUUCAGACCAGCCUGGCCAAGACGGUGAAAUCCCGUCUCUACUAAAGAUACAAAAAUUAGUUGGGUAUGGUGGUGGUUGCCUAUAGUCCCAGCUACUCAGGAGGCUGAGGUAGGAGAAUCGCUUGAAACCGGAAGGUGGAGGCUACACUGAGCGGAGAUCACGCUACUGCACUCCAGCCUGGGUGAAAGAGCGAAAUUCCCAGAAAAAAAAAAAAGGAAGUUUUAUGUUGUAUACAUUUUACCACAAAUACAAUAAAAGAAAUUCUCGGCUGGGUGUUGUGGCUCAUGCCUGUAAUCCCAGCACUUUGGGAGGCCGAGGUGGGUGGCUCAGGAGGUCAGGAGUUCAAGACCAGCCUGCCCAAGAUGGUGAAACCCGUGUCUAAUAAAAAUACAAAAAUUAGGCCGGUGCGGUGGCUCAAGCCUGUAAUCUCAGCACUUUGGGAGGACGAGGUGGGUGGAUCACGAGGUCAAGAGAUCGAGACCAUCCUGGUCAACAUAGUGAAACCCUAUCUCUACUAAAACUACAAAAAAUUAGCUGGGCAUGGUGGUUCGUGCCUGUAGUCCCAGCAACUUGGGAGGCUGAGGCAGGAGAAUUGCCUGAACCCAGCAGGCGGAGGUUGCGGUGAGCCGAGAACACCCCAUUGCACUCCAGCCUGGGUAACAAGCGAAACUCCGUCUCAAAAAAAAAAAAAUUAGCCUGGCUGGUGGCAGGCGCUUGUAAUCCCGGGAGGCUGAGACAGGAGAAUCGCUUGCACCCAGGAGGCGGAGGUUGCAGUGAGCCGAGAUUGUGCCACUGCACUCCAGCCUGAGUGACAGAGCAGGCUCCAUCUCAAAAAAAAAAAAAAAAAAAGGAAAGAAAUGAAGUUCUCAUACAUACUGCAGCUGGAAUGAAGCUUGAAAAGAUUAUGCUAAGCGGUGGGCAUGGUGGCUCAAGGCUUAUAAUUACACCACUUUGGAAGACUGAGAGGGUAGGAUGGUUCGACUUCAGGAGUUGGAGACCAUCCUGGGCAACGUGGCAAAACCUCGUCUCUAUGAAAAAUACAAAAAUUAGCCAGGCAUGGUGGCCUCUGCCUGUAGCCCCAGCUAUUCAGGAGUCUGAAGUAGGAAGAUCGCUUGGAACCGGGAGGUGGAUGUUGCAGUGAGCCGAGAUGGCGCCACUGCGCUCUAGCCUGGGCAACGGAGCGGGACCCUGUCUCAAUUAAAGGAAAGAAGAAAAUAAAAAACAUUAUACUAAACAAAAUAAGCCUGACACAAAAGGACGAAUAUUAUAUGAUUCCGCUUAUACAAAAUACCUAGACUAGGUAAAUUCAUUAGAAAGUGUAUCAGAGGUUGGGGAGGAUGUUGAGGGGAGGGGUAAAGAAAAGAAAAUCAAGGAGUGGGAAGCAAAUGACCGGGGGAUAGAAGGGCAGUGGUCGGCCGCUUGAGUGCGUGGGUGUCAGGGGCAGACGGGACAGACGAUUCAGGUCCUGCGCGCAGGGGCCCCUGCGCUCCCGUUGGGCGCAGCUGUCUUUAGGGCAGCGGCAGCGUGGCAGGCGCGAGGGGCGCCCGGACCUGUCUCCUCCACCCUUCGCCCGCCGCAACCGCUGCAGGCUCCAGCCUGUCCCUAUCUCACACUCUUUAUUUAACAAAGAGCGGAGAGACUAGAAGUGACCCCGAGCAGCGUGGAUGCGGGUAGGGCCGCCGGGGCGUCCCACGGGCGUCAUCCUAGCCUCGUGAGCGCGGAGCCCGGGCACGGGGGCGGGGAGGGGGUUUUGGUGUGCUUAUGAGAACUUGCUCCGUUUUCUCUGUAAGUACUAAGGGUUCCCUCGCCGCCCUCUUCCUCAUUUUCCACCAUCCCAGUUUACACAAGCAUACGUAUUUACUUCCGUAAUUUCCCCAUGCCCAUGUAACAUCACACACAUACACACGCGCGUGCGUUUGCUUUUGUUUUCCAAAAUGGCAUCUUCUAGUAGGCGCCUCUCUUUAUGUUGCUUUUCUAGUACACUGUGGAACCCCAAAUCCCAGCUGGGAUUCACUCUUCUCUAAUGGCUGAACAUUCAUCCGGGGCAUGAAGGCAGCGCGGUUCAUUUCAUCAUUCCUUUGUUUCCUCUGUUUUGCCACUAGAAACUGCCGCGAUGAAUGUCAGUCCCCAGAGCCGGAACAAUUCCCGGUUUUCUCCACUUGGGUCUGAGAACCUCUGUCCCUCUAGAGCUGCGAGCACUUUGCCAGGGUGACGGGCGGAAAUGUCCCUCAUCUGUGCCUGCUUUCCCAGACCCUCCAGCAGACCCCUCUACAGCCCCAGCUUUCUCCUAGCCACUUCCCCCCAGCGACCGCAGAAGGCGCUUCCUCCCCCGCAGCGCGAGCCCAAGCUCCUCCAACGCCCCAGCUCUCCCCGCCCCCCUUCCGACCUUGUUUCAUCUGACCCCUCCCCCGCACAUACUCAAUUUCAUCUUCCCAAGGCGCCCACUCUCCACAUUCUGAGGAAAAAAGAGCCGGCUGCUGUCCUAUGUUUGUCAUGCUGCUUUCCUCCUGUACACUACACAACUUGAACAACAUUUUUUUUUCUUUAUUUGAAACAGGCUCUCGCACUGUCGCCCAGGCUGGAGUACAGUGGCACGAUGAUGGCUUACUGCAGCCUUGACCUCUCUGGGCUCAGAUGAUCCUCCUGUCUCAGCUUCCCAAGAAGCGUGCCACCACUAUCGGCCAAUUUUAAUUUUUUCUUUUUUUAACCACAGGGGCUCACUAUGUUGCCCAGGCUGGUUUUGAACCCUAGGCCCAAGGGAUCCUCCUGCCUCAGCCUCCCAAAGUGCUGGGAUUACAGGCGUGAGCCAUCGCGUCCCACAGUAAAUAUUAUUUCAAGGAAAUGGCACCUGAGUUUGAGAUUAAUCAGGUUUACUGCAGGGAAGGAGCAUUGGCCCGAGUUAGAACCCGACUCUGCCCUUUCCCUGCCUGCUUCUGCCUUCAGCAAAUUGUUCCACACAUCUCUGGUUUCCUCCCGAGAUGAUCCCAAGGCCCUGCUGGCUCUAGCCUUGGUGAGGCUAGAAUUACAAUUCCAGUCCUCCCCAGCCACGCCCCAUCUCUUGCUCCCAGUGCUGGCACUUUCCCCAGUCAGCCACACUUUCCUUUCCCAUUCACUGAGCCUGUGGAAAGCUCUCCCUCUUAUUCUGAAUAUCUAGAGCCUAUUCACCUUUGAAGACCUGACUUGGCCACGUUUCUUCCCAAAGCUUACAGCAUGCCCUCUGUGGAAGGAAACGCUCUGUCCUUGCAAAGCCAUUGUCUGUAGCACUUUCACUGUAUCUUACUAAUAACAUCACCCCCUCUGCCUGGGGAGCUGUUCCAAACCUGCCCUUCUCCCAUUGCCAUCUACGUGUCUGGCAAGGCCCCACCAUAGUACUUUGCCCAUGUUAAAGGAUACAGUUUUGGGAGUCCUAAGACCGGGGUCCACAUCCCAGUUCUGACACUAAAUGUGUUACCUUGAACAUGUCACAUAGCCUCUCUGAGCCUUAAUUUCCCCAAAUGUAAAAUGCAAAUAAUAACCUAUUUCAUAGAGUUACUGUGUUGAUUAGAUGAGACAAUAUAUAAGAAAAUGCUUUGUGAACGGUAAAGCUAACAGACAUAAAUAAUAAUAGUAAAGACAGAUAUUACUCAGAUGUUGGCAAGAGGGAUUUCCUUUCUAAAACAGAAUUGAAUUUUUUUUUCUUUGAGAUGGAGUCUGGCUCUGUUGCCAUGCUGGAGUACAGUGGCGCAAUCUCAGCUCACUGCAACCUCCACCUCCUGAGUUCAAAUGACUCUCCUGCCUCAGCCUCCCAAGUAGUUGGUACUACAGGCAUGCACCACCACGCCUGGCUAAUGUUUGUAUUUUUAGUCGAGAUGGGGUUUCACCACGUUGCCCAGGAUGGUCUUGAUCUGUUGACCUCAUGAUCCACCCACCUUGGCCUCCCAAAGUGCUGGGAUUACAGGCCUGAGCCACUGUGCCCAGCCCUAAAACAGAAUUAAAAAAAAAAAAAAAGAAAAGAAAAAGAAGACAUGGUGGUUCACCUCUAUAAUCCCAACACUUAGGGAGGCCAAGCAAGAGGAUUGCUUGAGCCCAGUUCAAAAUCAGCCUAGGCAAUAUAGCAAGACUUCCAUCUCUACAAAAAUAAGCAAAUUAGCCUGAAAUCGUGGCAUGUGCUGUUAAACCUGGCUGUUUGGAAACU
Non-coding RNA from Callithrix jacchus (white-tufted-ear marmoset), 20316 nucleotides. Lineage: Eukaryota; Metazoa; Chordata; Mammalia; Primates; Cebidae. The record is from RefSeq and is a predicted model, not a curated record.